Molecule: ribosomal RNA, 253 nt
Filed under: uncultured bacterium
Lineage: Bacteria
Description: partial 16S ribosomal RNA
Rfam family: Bacterial small subunit ribosomal RNA
Source: RNAcentral
UACGUAGGGGGCAAGCGUUGUCCGGAAUCAUUGGGCGUAAAGCGCGUGUAGGCGGCCCGGUAAGUCCGCUGUGAAAGUCGGGGGCUCAACCCUCGAAUGCCGGUGGAUACUGUCGGGCUAGAGUACGGAAGAGGCGAGUGGAAUUCCUGGUGUAGCGGUGAAAUGCGCAGAUAUCAGGAGGAACACCCAAUUGCGAAGGCAGCUCGCUGGGACGUUACUGACGCUGAGACGCGAAAGCGUGGGAGCAAACAGG